RNAcentral lists this ribosomal RNA (1588 nucleotides) under Glaucis hirsutus. RNAcentral describes it as "16S ribosomal RNA". It matches the Rfam family "Bacterial large subunit ribosomal RNA". Lineage: Eukaryota; Metazoa; Chordata; Aves; Apodiformes; Trochilidae. The record is from RNAcentral.
AGCCACCCCCUAGCCCAGCCACCAUGCACAACCAAACAUUAAAAAGCUACUAAUCCUGAAGACUAAAACAUUUUAACAACCCAGUAUAGGCGAUAGAAAAGAACUACCUGGCGCAAUAGUAAGCCCGUACCGUAAGGGAAAGAUGAAAUAACAAUGAAACUCUAAGCUAUAAACAGCAAAGACUAACCCUUGUACCUUUUGCAUCAUGAUUUAGCAAGAACAACCAAGCAAAACGAAUUUAAGCUUGCCCCCCCGAAACCCAAGCGAGCUACUUGCAAGCAGCUGUUCCGAGCGAACCCGUCUCUGUUGCAAAAGAGUGGGAUGACUUGUCAGUAGUGGUGAAAAGCCAACCGAGCUGGGUGAUAGCUGGUUGCCCGUAAAAUGAAUUUAAGUUCACCCUUGGCCCCCUCCAAAACGGACACCCGCCCACCCCCAUGUAGCUGGCCAAGAGUUAUUUAAAGGAGGUACAGCUCCUUUGAAAGAGAACACAACCUCUCCUAGCGGGUAAGUCAUCCACUCGACCAACCUGUGGGCCUUCAAGCAGCCAUCAACAAAGAGUGCGUCAAAGCUCCCUAUCAAAAAUACUGCAAUAACACAACCCCCUUGACUUCUAAUGGGCCAACCUAUACCAAUAGAAGAAUUAAUGCUAAAAUGAGUAACUUAGGACCAUCCUCCUCUACUGGCGCAAACUUACAUCCACACAUUAUUAACAUACACCAAAAUACCCAAACCUUAACAAGAACUUGUAUUUUCUGCCAUGUUGACCCAACCCAGGAGCGCUAGCCAGAAAGAUUAAAAUCUACAAAAGGAACUAGGCAAACCCGAGGCCCGACUGUUUACCAAAAACAUAGCCUCCAGCCAAACAAGUAUUGGAGGUGAUGCCUGCCCAGUGACACCAUGUUCAACGGCCGCGGUAUCCUAACCGUGCGAAGGUAGCGCAAUCAAUUGUCUCAUAAAUCGAGACCUGUAUGAAUGGCUAAACGAGAUCUCAACUGUCUCUUGUAGAUAAUCAGUGAAAUUGAUCCCCCCGUGCAAAAGCGAGGAUAAUACCAUAAGACGAGAAGACCCUGUGGAACUUAAAAAUCAACAAUCACCUCUUCGGCUCAUAAACCUACCCAGGCCCACCACCCAGAGAACACUGAUUGACAUUUUUUGGUUGGGGUGACCUUGGAGAACAACAAAACCUCCAAAAACAAGACUAUAAAUCUUAACCCAGAGCGACCCCUCGAAGUACUAAUAGUGACCAGACCCAGCACUAAUCUGACCAAUGGACCAAGCUACCCCAGGGAUAACAGCGCAAUCCCCUCCAAGAGCCCCUAUCGACGAGGGGGCUUACGACCUCGAUGUUGGAUCAGGACAUCCUAAUGGUGCAGCCGCUAUUAAGGGUUCGUUUGUUCAACGAUUAACAGUCCUACGUGAUCUGAGUUCAGACCGGAGCAAUCCAGGUCGGUUUCUAUCUAUGAUUAACUUUCCCUAGUACGAAAGGACCGGAAAAGUAAGGCCAAUGCAACAUAAUACGCCUUCCCCCCUAAGUAAUGAACACAACUAAAUUACGAACUGGGGCCCCCCACCGCCCUAGAUAAGGGCC